This 967-nucleotide small RNA is filed under the name Oryza sativa Japonica Group (Japanese rice). RNAcentral describes it as "sRNA Os02g0221400". The record is from RNAcentral. Lineage: Eukaryota; Viridiplantae; Streptophyta; Magnoliopsida; Poales; Poaceae.
UAUAGUUUCCAAAUUUUUAGGACCACAAAGCCCAGCUCAGCUCAGCGUGCGCUGCGACUGCGAUGCGAGCUCAGCUCGGGGUCGAGAGAAUCGCGGGAGCAAAAGCAGCAGCCUCGGAUCGGAUCCAUGGUGGGUGGAUGGAUCCCUUGCUCCACUAGGGUUUCGUCCGAGCACACGCGCUAGGGUUUGCUUUGCUUCGGCAACCUGCCAGGCGCUCGCGGAUGGGUCGCCGCCGGCGGCAUGGUCGCUGAGCUGCGGUCGCCGUCGGCGGCGCCGGCGAUCCUUCUUAUUCUGCACGCGCGUGAGGAGCAGCCCGAGGAGUAAGCUGGCCCGUCGUCGCCGCGUGCUGGGAUCUGGUGCAGGUGCAGCGACCAUGCUCCUCGAUCAGGAGCAAAAGGAUUCAUGAGAUGAAAACAGGAGCAUAUACCUUUCCUUUGCCUGACUGAUGGAUCUUCCCGGCGCUUGACAACCAGAGCACCUCGCCGCUGCCGGCCGCCGCACCACCCCGCAAGCCCCUCGCCGCCGGCGUCCCGUCACAGCACCCGUGUGGCGGCGCUGCGCCGACAACAGGAGGAAGAAAUGCCUUUUUUGCCGGAGGACAGCGCAAAGAGAUGAGAACGAGUUGGUGAAACCUGUGAAGUGCAGUGGGGAUUUGGGAAUUGGGAGGGAUUAUAAAACCUAGAUCCGGGUGUGUUUUUUUGCACUUUGGUCACAAAUGCACAAAGUAUUAUUUGUAAUGGAAAUUUAGUUUUGUGAAAUAAGCAAUUUUGUACUGUGCGUUGCUGCAAAGAAUUAUGUAUGUGUUCAUAUGCUUAUUCGGUGGCAACAGUUGUAUAGCAGUUUGUUGGAAAGUUGGAUCCAUUUUGGAGGUGACGUUUGCUUCCUGUUUAGGCACGUAGCAUUUAAUUGCUACCAGUUUUGACAUGUGAACAGGUUCCUCUAUAUUUUCGUUACGAAUUUUAGUACU